Loxodonta africana (African savanna elephant) is the source of this 7586-nucleotide RNA transcript. It is a transcript of the gene named PARP1 binding protein, with no coding region annotated. The record is from RefSeq and is a predicted model, not a curated record. The transcript has 12 exons. Lineage: Eukaryota; Metazoa; Chordata; Mammalia; Proboscidea; Elephantidae.
UGCUCCGGCUCUGCUUCCGGGUCGGAGGGCGAGCGCGCUGAUUGGCUCUCGGGCCCUCCCGCGAGAUUUGAAAUGUAACCUGCAGCGGCCAAAGCAGUCGAGAGCGGGUUACCUUGCAUGCAGGACGUUUUACCGGUCAAGUCUGCUCUCCCGGUGGUCUCGCUCGAGCCAGAGGAUGGCUGUGCUUUACCAGACGUCCGUCUUGGAUAUGAUCAAAGAGUUUAGACGGAAUUGGCACACUCUUUGUAGCUCUGAGCGAACUACUGUAUGUGGUGCAGACUUCAUGCUCUUGGCAUUGCAGCUUUCCAUGGCAGAGAACAACAAACAGCACAGUGGAGAAUUUUCAGUCUCUCUAAGUGAUGUAUUAUUGACCUGGAAAUACUUACUACAUGAGAAAUUGAACUUACCAGUUGAAAAUAUGGAAGUGACUGGCCAUUAUGAGGACAUUAGGAAGUCUUACGAUGAUUUCUUGAAGAAUAGUAAUAUGUUAGAUCUGAUUGAUGUUUAUCAAAAAUGUAGGAUUUUGACUUCUAAUUGUGAAAAGAAUGACAAGAUAUCCCCUAGUCAACUACGGGAUUUUCUGUCUGGCAGACAGUAUGCAGUAGAUGACGAAACCAAUCUUUGUGUGCCGACAUCACCAAGGAGUAAACCCAACCAGGAUAAUGAAAAGAUGCGAUUACUAGCCAAGAAAAUUAUCUGUUCAUAUUUGAGCCUACUAGUCAAUUCGAAGAAUGACCUGGCUUUGGCUCACAUUCUUAAUAUUCCUGAUAGAGGACUUGGAAGAGAAGCCUUCACAGACCUGAAGCAUGCUGCUCAAGAGAAACAGAUGUCUAUCUUUUUGGUGGCCACGUCAUUCAUUCGAACAAUACAGCUUGGGGGGAAAGGAUAUGCACCAUCACUCUCUGAUCCUUUAAGGACACAUGUAAAGGGAUUGUCUAAUUUUAUUAAUUUCAUUGACAUAUUAGGUGAGAUUCUUGGAGAAAUCCCAAAUCCAAGCAUUGCAGGGGGUCGGAUACUCUCAGUGAUAAAGACGCAGCUUAUUAAAGGCCAGGACAGCAGGGAUCCUUUCAGUAAGUCAGUAGAGGAAGUUGCUCAGGAUUUGGAUUUGAGGAUUAAAAAUAUUAUUGAUUCUCAACAAGGAGAUGUAGCUGUUCACACCACUGACAUCAGCCCUGCACGGCCAAAAUCACAUGCCAUAAACCAUGGCACAGCCUACUGUGGCAGAGAGACUGUGAAAACUUUACUAGUUCUUUUAGAUGAAGAAGCUGCUGAAGCUCCUUCCAGAAACAAAGCAGAACUCUUAUAUGGUGAUGAAAGUAGAGUUCGUUAUAAUGGAACUUCUAUUCUUACCCUUUUCAGAUCUCCUACACAAGUGAAUAAUUCAUCGAUGAAACCCCUAAGAGAACGCAUCCAGAAGUCAAUGCAAGAGAAGAAAGUUAAGGUAAAGCAAACCUUAAUUAGAUCCCAGUUUGCUUGUACUUACAAAGAUGAGUGCAUGAUAAGCAAGGAUAAAUGGAAUAGUGUUAAUUCAGCAUCAAAGCCCCUAUGUGUUCUUCGCAUGGAAAAUGACCCUCCUGAAGGUGUAAAUUCAUCUGUUGGAAGACCAACAAUUGGAACAAGUUCUGGAAAUGUUCAUUUGGACAGAAGUAAAAAUAAAAAAAUACAAAAAAAAUCAAGUAGUCAGACAGGAAAUGAGAACUCAAAAAGGAAACAGGUGGAUUUGGAUGGCGAACAUGUUUUCUGUGAUAAUGGAAAUGAAUUACUUCAACAGAAAAAUACUAAGAUACCUAAGACAUCAAAGGAUUCGCAGAAUACAUUGGAUGGCAAACUAGCUCGAACAGCAAAAGGCAACAAGUGUACCGCCAGGGAGAAAUUGAUUGCUGGCCAGACAAAGUUAACUCAGUUUUUUAGACUAUGAAUUUGUCUUUUAUAUGUAUUAGAUUUAUGUAUAUGUAAAACCAAAGGCAUAUACUUGAUUUUUAAAAGGUCAAGGUGUAAAUUACCCUGAUUCUUUUUUUAUUUUGAUCUGGAGUGUAUUUAAGGUUAGUGUGUUAAACAUUGUUCAAAAAUACUAGUAAGUCGUAAUCAUGCAGAAUUUUCAUGAAGUUUAAUGCACAGAAAAAACAUCAUUUACAUUACUGAUGUAUCAUAGUACUUCCUUUUAAAACAUGUUAAGAUAAUACAUAGUAGCAUAAUAAAGUUACAGUAACAUUAAGGGCUUUUUCCUUAACUGGCAAUUAAAUGAUUUUGUCUUCCUCUGAAAAGAUGAUGUGAACCAAAAAGUAUCAGACUUGCCAACAAGGGAAGGAGCAACGACUGAUUUUUCUGCAGUAUCUUCCUUCUGGAAGGCUUUCCCGAGCCUAAAUGUAUUAAAUACCAUGUCAUCUUCUAAAUUUCUUAUGGACUUUGCCGAAAGUAAAAUACCUUGAGAAAACAAAAAAAAGGUUAGUAUAAAUGUAUAGGACGAGAGACUCAUUUUAGCCAUUCUUAGUUUGAUGUUUGCAUAGAGUCAAAGAUGUAUAAAAUGAAGUAAAAUUUCUGGGUCAGCCUGCUUCAUAAAUGAGUCCCACCUUUAUAUAUUUUCCAGUUUGAAUAGAAAACACUUCAAAGUCUUACAUUUCCCUCAUUUUAGAAAUGACUCAUCAGGUAUAAACUAACCUCUUCUGAGGCUGCUAAUACCUACAUUGUUUUGGUUUUAGUGGCAUACUGUUUAUUCUUGAAUAUGAGUUUCUCAGAAUCUGAUUAAGACCACUGGUAGAACGCUUUCUGUUGAGGAGAUUAUAGUCUCUUGAAAAUGGGUUGUUAUUAAGAAAGACCACAGGACAUCAGGCUUUCUAUAUACUCUUGUUGUUUCCUUCUGUGUAUUUUUGGAUUAAGAUAUUAAAACAAAAUUAUUUCACUCAAGGAUGAUAAGGAUAAAAGUUUUAUUUAUCUUUAAUCCUGAUUAACUUGAAAAAAUCUUCAAAAAGGAUUUUUCUUACAUCAAUACUUCAUAUAGUUUUUGGUGAUUAUUUGUAUAUAGUAUUUGGUGAUAUGCCUGUCAGUUUGAAAAAAAGUCAUUCAUGCUGUAUGUAAAACUGAAUUGUCAAGUAUGGGUAUUUUAUCUCUGCACUUAUAAAAGGAUAAUACUGACAUUUACGAUGGCAGCGGGUUAUUAACGGUUAAUGAAUAACAAGUCUGUACAAGCUUUUUUUCAUAGAUAAUAUUUUUGGAUGAUGAGAGUAGGUUGUAUGAUUUUUAAUUAAACAUUUAAGAGUUAAUUCCUAAUUUUAAUCCCAGUGAAUAAAAGAAUGUACUCAUGGUCAUGUCUUUUAAUAUACAUGUGUAAGUUUUUUUUAGGGUAUAUUUCUAGGUAUGGAAUUGUGGGGUCAUGGAGUAUGUUGCAUGUUUUACAAAAUAGUACUAACCAAUUUAUGCUCCCACCCAGUAGGGUAUGAGAGUUCCUAUUGCUCCAUAUCCUAGCCAACGGUUGGGUAUUUAUUUUCCUUUUAAUUUGUAUCUCCUGUCAUGAGUUGGGGGUUGACUCCAUGACAGCUAACAAUGAUCACCGAAGAGGUUCAGUGUUUUUUCAUAUGUUUAGAGCCAUUUAUCUUUCCUCUUGUGUAAAGUGCCUUAUUAUUAUUAUUUUGGUCUUCGUCUAUUUUUUGAUUGUGGUUUUUGUCAUUUUUGUAUUGAUUCAUGAACUCUUUAUAUAUUCUGGAUAUUAAGUUUUUGUCAGUUACAUGUGUUACCUUUCAUGACCAUUUAUCUUUUUUUCUGAAGUACACACUUUAGAUGCUAACUUAGUUAUAAACUCGGGUUUAAAAAAAUUUUUUUAGUGUCAUUAUUUUACCAUUGUUCUUGAAAAAUAGUUUCAGUAAAUAUACAAUUAUUCAGUUGACAGUUAUUUUCUUUCAGCACUUUAUUAAUAUUUCAGUGUCUUCUGGGUUUUGUUGAUAUUGCUGAGUAUUCAGCUGUCAGUUUUAAUCAUGGUUCUUCACAGGUAGUCUGUAUUCUAUCUGCUUUUAAAAUCUCUUUAUCUUUGUUGUUCUGUAGUUUCACAUGAUGUACCUGGGUACUGAUUUAUUUUCGUUUAUGCUGGCUUAGAUUCAUUGGUGUUUCUCGUGAAUUUUGGAAGAUCAUUAGCUGUUAUCUCUUAGAGUAUUGCCUCUUUCCCAUUCCAUUUUCUCUUUUGGGAAUUCCCACCCAGUGGUGUAGUGGUUAAGUGCUACAGCUGCUAACCAAGAGGUUGGCAGUUCACAUCCCCCAGGUGCUCCUUGGAAACUCUGUGGGGCAGUUCUACUCUGUCCUGUGGGGUCGCUAUGAGUCGGAAUCGACUCGACGGCAGUGAGUUUUUUAUGUAUUGGACUUGUUCACCCAUCUCCUGUAGCUCUUAACCAUACGUUCCUAUUUUCUAUCUCUUUCUGUUCCCAUGCUGUAUUUUAAAUCAGUUUUUCAUUUCACUCGUGUACUUUCACUUAUGUAUAAUCUGCUCUUUAACUUGUCUAUUGAGUUUUUAAAUUUUAUUGUAUUUUUUAUUUUUAAAGGUUAUAGUUGGUUCCUUUUCAGUUUUGAUUUUUUUUUUUCCUGCAGCACGUUUACAAUUUCUUCUUUGUUUUAGACCUAUUGAACAUUGUUUAUAUUUGUAUCUGAUUUUUCCAAUGUUGGCUGUCUUUCAUUCUGUAGUUUUGCUAUUUCUGCUGAUUCUGGUUCAUAAUGUCUUCUUCAUGCGUUUAGUGAAUUUUAAUUUUUUGCAUAUGUUCUUGGAACUGUAUCCAAGGAAUUCUUAGAAUUCUGAUGUUCUACCUUCAGAGAAGAUUUGUGUUUGUUUCUGUUAGACACCUGGGGGUACUACCAGUCCAGUGGCCCUUUAAAUGAAAUUUUUGGCUUAGGACCGAGUUUGUGAUUAGGAAUUCCCAGGAUGAUGUAUUUUCUUUUUCACCCCACUCUUCCCGGAGUCAUUCCUCAGACAGGCACGGUUCUCUCUACUAGCUGAGCUUUUCUAGCUCCCAGCUCUGUAUGGGAGUUUCUGACUUGACCUUUGAUUUUUACUGGGGCCCUAAGCUUUGCCUUCUGUCCCAACACACAAAGGUCAUUAAAACCAGGCUCUAGGCCACCAGGAAUUCAUAGAAGCUGUCAGAGCAAAUGCUGGCUGUAGUCCUUGUUAACCCCUGUGGAAUAUUGCACUUUCUCAUUUCUGGCCUCCUUUGGUUUCCUUUACUGCCAGCUCAGCCAUGCACACACAAAGGAUGUUUUCAUCUAGCAGUUUCAGGUGUUUUUUACUGAGAGGAGUUCUCUGCACAGUAGUCUGCUGUAUCACUGGAAAUGGAAGCCUCAAUCCAUUUUUUCAUGGAAAAUUCUCUCUGCAAGGGAAUUUGAAUCAUUUGAAUAAAAUUUCUAUGUAUUGUGUAUUAAAUUAUUUCUUCUUUUAAAACUACCUGGUUAUAGGACUGUAUUUCAAAUUGUUUAAAUCUCUGAUUUCUUUUUAAGUGUAGUGAAAAUAUACUUAAUGAAAUACAUCUCAACAAUUUCCUCAUUUACAGAAAUCUCUGAUUCCUUUAAGAACAUUUUAUCAGAGGUAGGGGGCAGUUAAGAGCUGAUUCUCUUAGGGGCUAUUUAAAUCUUAUUAGACAAAUGCUUUCUGAGCGUGUAUUUGUAAACAAAGACUCUAAAAUCCUCUGACUCCUUUGAUUUUAGAGACUCCUUACCUUUUUAAUGUUGUUAGUUGCACUUUGAUUUCCUUCUUAGGGUUUGAACCUGCCUUGCAGCUGCCAGUUUAAUCUAUAAAAGGCCUUGUUAACUGGUAACCUCUUUUCUUAGCUGCUGUUCUUGAAAUAUAAUAAAUAUUAGUAAUUAUGUAUUUGUUUUAAAUUUCCACUGGGUAAAUUGGUUUGGCUGAUCUUUACCCCAAAUCAGGACCAACUCCAAACCAUUUUGAUGGUUUAGAAAAGUUAAUGUUUUCCUCUUUUUUGCUUAAGCUGUUGUAAGCCUCUGGACAUUAUGAGGUUUUCCCAUAACCUUUUAAUUAUGAAGAUAUUUUCCAGUUUUUUUUUAAUGAUAACUUAAAAAAAAAAAACAUUGGUUACUCUGAUGUGCAGUAGAGCAUAGUAGAUUUCUUUCUCAUUGAUGCUGAAAAUUAAGUGUCCCCAAGUGGUAGGAAGGAACUUUGAAGAAAAACUAUUGCCAGAUGGGCUUGGGUGGUUCAGAAAGUCUUGGAAAGACAAAAGUUUUAUAUCAGAUGUGAUCCAUGUUUUCUGAAGAACUACUAAUAAUACCGUAUAUUUGUAAAUCACUUUGUCAAACUUCUCUUCCCCUCCAAGUAACAUAUAUUUGCUUCAUGAUACCAGUAAAUUCAGUACAAAUCAAAUGGUGAUUGGUCAUUGGUUUCCUGAGAACUCUGAGUUUCUUAAUGACUUAUUUUAAGUCUAAAAGCCAAGAUUGUGAUGAACCUACAAAACAUCUUACAACAUGGAUGAAUCUGGACAGCAUUAUGCUGAGUGAAAUAAGUCAGUCAUUAAAGGACAAAUACUGUAUGAGACCACUCUUUUAAAAACUCAGGAAAAGGUUUACACAUAGAAAUAGACAAUCUUUGAUGGUAACUUGGGAGGGUGUGGGACAGGAAAAACACUAAAUAGACAGCAGUUAAGUAGUAACCUUGGUGAAGGGUAUGGCAGUACACAAUACUGGGGAAGUUGAACCAACUUGACCAAGGCAAGGUCAUGGAAGCUUCACAGAUACAUCCACACUCCCUGCAGGACUGAAUUACUGGGCUGAGGGCUCUGGGGACAUCUAGUUCAAUUGGUAUAAAAUAGUUUAUAAUAUUCUACAACCUACUUUGGUGAGUAGUGUUUGGGGUCUUAAAAGCUUGUGAGCUAAGAGACUCUACUGGUUCCAUCUCAUCUGAAGCAAGGGAGAAUGAAGAAAACCAGACACAAGGGAAAGAUUAGUCCAAAGGACUAAUGGCCACAACUACCAUAGGCUCCACCAGACUUGAGUCCAGCACAACUAGAUGAUGCCCAGCUACCACCACUGACUGCUCUGAUAGGGUUCACAAUAGAGGGUCCCGGGCAGAGCUGGAGAAAAGGUGUACUCACAAAAAAAGACCAGACUUACUGGUCUGACAGAGACUGGAGAAACCCUGAGAAUAUGGCCCUGGAUACCCUUUUAACUCAGUACUGAAGUUACUCCUGAGGUUCACCCUUCAGCCAAAGAUUAGACAGGUCCAUAAAACAAAACGAGACUAAAUGGGCACAUCAGCUCAGAGGAAAGGAUGAGAAGGCAGGAGGGUACAGGAAAACUGGUAACAGGAAACCCAAAGUUGAGAAGGGAAAAGUGUUGACAUGUUGUAGCGUUGGCAGCCAAUGUCACAAAACAAUAUGUGUGUUAAUUGUUUAAUGAGAAAUUUGCUCUGUAAACCUUCAUCUAAAGUACAAUUAAACUAAAAGCCAGGAUUGUUUGCUUACAUUAUCAAAAGGUAUAAGAAAACUUAGAAGUCAUUCUCAACUUUUUCUGCUAAAGAACCCCUAACUACAUAAAAAAAAGUGAAUGUAUAGUUCUGAUUCAGAGGGUAUAGCCAAAGCAGUCAUGGCAAGUGAGAAGUUGGAAUU